This 378-nucleotide unclassified non-coding RNA is filed under the name uncultured Actinomycetes bacterium. RNAcentral's name for it is "uncultured actinobacterium contains 16S-23S intergenic spacer region". The record is from RNAcentral. Lineage: Bacteria; Bacillati; Actinomycetota; Actinomycetes.
UCCGAGUUGACCCCGGCAGUCUCCUAUGAGUCCCCACCAUCACGUGCUGGCAACAUAGAACGAGGGUUGCGCUCGUUGCGGGACUUAACCCAACAUCUCACGACACGAGCUGACGACAGCCAUGCACCACCUGUGCACCGGCCCCGAAGGGCUGCCGUAUUUCUACGACACUCCGGCGCAUGUCAAGCCUUGGUAAGGUUCUUCGCGUUGCGUCGAAUUAAUCCACAUGCUCCGCCGCUUGUGCGGGUCCCCGUCAAUUCCUUUGAGUUUUAAUCUUGCGGCCGUACUCCCCAGGCGGGGUGCUUAAUGCGUUAGCUUCGGCACGGAAGGGGUUGAUGCCCCCCACACCUAGCACCCAUCGUUUACGGCUGGGACUAC